This 456-nucleotide ribosomal RNA is filed under the name uncultured Bifidobacterium sp. RNAcentral describes it as "bacterial SSU rRNA". It matches the Rfam family "Bacterial small subunit ribosomal RNA", at positions 211 to 679 of the family's 1533-position model. Lineage: Bacteria; Bacillati; Actinomycetota; Actinomycetes; Bifidobacteriales; Bifidobacteriaceae. The record is from RNAcentral.
UUUAUCGGUAUGGGAUGGGGUCGCGUCCUAUCAGGUAGUCGGCGGGGUAACGGCCCACCGAGCCUAUGACGGGUAGCCGGCCUGAGAGGGCGACCGGCCACAUUGGGACUGAGAUACGGCCCAGACUCCUACGGGAGGCAGCAGUGGGGAAUAUUGCACAAUGGGCGCAAGCCUGAUGCAGCGACGCCGCGUGCGGGAUGACGGCCUUCGGGUUGUAAACCGCUUUUGAUUGGGAGCAAGCGWGAGUGAGUGUACCUUUCGAAUAAGCACCGGCUAACUACGUGCCAGCAGCCGCGGUAAUACGUAGGGUGCAAGCGUUAUCCGGAAUUAUUGGGCGUAAAGAGCUCGUAGGCGGUUCGUCGCGUCUGGUGUGAAAGUCCAUCGCUUAACGGUGGAUCUGCGCCGGGUACGGGCGGGCUGGAGUGCGGUAGGGGAGACUGGAAUUCCCGGUGUAAC